CCAGACGGGGGUUGGGUUCAGCGGGACAGGACCUGACAGUCUCUGAUGGGGGGACGAUUGGGCAGAGAAGGGAGUGAAUGGGGCAGCCCUCUGGGGAAGAGCCUUGUCUGGGACUGUGGGGACAUUGGGACACAGGCCUGAGGGCAGUGAUGUAGGGGGGAGUGGUUGGAGAUGCUGGGAGGACAUAGAUGGCCUCUUUCAUGAGGCUUCUGUAGGACUCUCCAUGGACUUGGCUUGUAUCCACUGAGAUGGGAACUGUUAGACGGCUAUAAGCAGAGGCCUGACAUGAUCUGACUUGCAUUUCAAAGGAUCACACUAGCUGCUUUGUUAGGAGCAAACAAAGUUUGUUCCUAACUUUGGAGCAAAGGUGCAGCAGGAAAUGGCUCAGAGGCUGCUGCAGGGGUUCAGCAGCGACAUGGUGGCGCUCAUGCACCGGGCGCUCCUUGUGGGCUGUGCAGGUGGGAGGUAGCGCUGGCCGGGCACUGCGGGUUGGAUGAAGGGUGUGAGAGAGGCCAGGAGGACUCCGAGGCUUUUGGCCUAUACAAGUGGAAGGAGGGAGGAGGGAGGUACUGUUUAGGGAAAUGGAGUUAUGAGAAAAACCCAGAAUUGUAUAGAAAAACAUUCCCCCAAAUCCGGAGGGAGCUGAGAGACCAAAGAAUGAUUCGAACAAGUCCAGCUUGGUGAGUAGGUGAGCGUAUUAGGACUUAAAUGGAGGGCACUCCUCGGUGGCAGCAGGACAGCUCUGGGCAUCCGUGCCGCCUCCCGUCUCCAGGCUGCCUUUAAGCUAAUUUUCUGGCUCUUUGCCUCCUGUGUGUGUGAUGAGACUAUUUUCCUUGGUAUGUGCCCAGCUAUGCCCUAGGAUGUUUGGGUUCUCAGGGACACGUGCUCCUCAGCUGGGCACCAUGGCCUUGGCUUACCGCCCAGCCUGCAGGGUUCAAAUGGCGGACAUACAUACACCCGUAAGUAACCCAUCACACUACAAAUGGAGUAGACUGCAGUGGCUGUGACAUGUCACACACUGAAUUGGGGAAGAUGAGGUGACUGUGACCUAUGUUGUCACCUCAUUUAAUCCUGACACGACCCCAUGAGUAGUCAUUACAAAUCUUUUUUUUUUUUUUUUGGAGACAGAGUCUCACUCUGUCACCCAGGCUGGAGUGCAGUGGUGCGAUCUCAGCUCACUGCAACCUCUGCCUCCCAGGUUCAAGCGCAAAUCCUAUUUUAUACUCAAGGAAAGAGAAGCUCAGGAUGCUGAAUUAAAUUGCCUACAGCCAUACAGCUAGUUAAGGGACAGAGCUAAUCCCAACCAAGGUCCCUUUGACUCUGAGCCCUCUGAGAAUGUGCAGUCCCUGUGAUCCUUUUUUUGCAUAAAUGGCAACAAAGUAGUCCAGUCCAAACAGCCUCCCUGCUCAUUCAUGAAAGCUGGAGUGAUGGUUUGUGCUUGGAGAGUGCUCAAGUAGAGAAGAGAGACCUGUCCCCUCCCUGCCCUUGGUGUUGGCAAAGGGAGCAGGGAGGAGGCAGAGGGAGGCAGACGCCAGCCCCUUUCCUUGUGGCUCUCUCCAGGUAACUGGCAGCCUGGAGGAGGUGGCGGCUUAAUGGGCCUAGCCCACGAAGAGAACUUGGACUUGAAGGUUUAAACAGCAACCUCUCACCAAUAAUGAAAGAUUAGGAGUGGGGAAGCCGUAUAUAAAAAUAGCACUUAAUAGUUAACUGGAAAACUAUAUUUUUGCAACCACUGGUUCCUCGAGAAAUAAUUGGGUCCCAAGGCAGGAAAUGAGUCGUUUUCAUGAAUGAUUAUAUUGAUCAUUGGUGCAAAACAGAUACACCCCCUUAGGAAAGCAAUUCUGUCUGGCUAGUCAGGCGGCCCCAGUGUGAAAUCCUGAGAGGCGGCAAGGGGAGGAGGACAGGGGCUGCAAGCCGAGGGAGCCAGGUCCUGGCCUGGCACACACAGGGGCGGGGCUGUUGAAUGGGAGAUGAGAAGGAACAGAAUUUGCCUCCAACAUAAGUCCUGAGCUCUCCCAAGGGAAGAAGGUGACAGAGUGAGACCCUGUCUCAAAGAAGAAAAAAAAAGUCACAUGAACAGAAAUAAAAGUCGAAAGCAUGACGAGUCCAAAGGAGGGAAAGUAAAGGGAGUGGUGAGAGAUGGCAGGGGCAUCAUUUGGGUUGGGGGAUUGGAUGAGGCUCCUCCAAGGGGAUGUGACUUGCUCCCAUGCUGCUUCAGGUCCUGGGUCAGACAAUGAUGUGCCUGUCACUCUUUUUUUUUUAAGUCAGGUCUUGUUCUGCACCCAGGCUGGAGUGCAAUGGUACAGUCAUGGCUCACUGCAGCCUCCAACUCCUGGGCUCAAGCAGUCCUCCCAUCUCAGCCUCUCAAGUAGCUGAGACUACAGACAUAUGCCAUCAUGCCCAGCUAUUUUUUUUUUUUUUAAGAGACAGGAUCUCGCUUUGUUGCCUCAGGCUGGCCUCUAACUCCUGGGCUCAAGUGAUCCUCCCACCUUGGCCUCCCAAAGUGCUGCGAUUGCAGGCGUGAGCCACCAUGCACGGCCCCCCAUUGCUCUUGAUACCCUUACCCACUUACCACCACCACACUUACUGGUACUGUGAGUUUAUUGUUUUACCCCUCUCCUGCUCCCCCCACCACCCCUUCUCGUGCCUGGUGUCUGAUUGGUUGACACAGUCAGUACAGGGUGACUGAAGGGUAGUUAGCCCUGAGGUGAGUCUGGCAGAGAGAACACUAGCACAGAGGCUUUGGGGUCGAAAAGAGCCCGCAUGUGGCUGGGCACAGUGGCUCACGCCUGUAAUCCCAGCACUUUGGGAGGCUGAGGCAGGCAGAUCACGAGGUCAGGAGAUUGAGACCAUCCUGGCUAACAUGGUGAAACCCCGUCUCUACUAAAAAUACAAAAAAUUAGCUGGGCAUGAUGGCAGGCGCCUGUAGCCUCACCUGCUUGGGAGGCUGAGGCAGCAGAAUGGUGUGAACCCGGGAGGCAGAGCUUGCAGUGAGCCGAGAUCACACCACUGCACUCCAGCCUGGGCAACAGAGUGAGACUCUGUCUCAAAAAAAAAAAAAAAGCUCUUGAAGCUUGGCGUGGUGGUUCACGCCUAUAAUCCCAGUACUUUGGGAGGCUGAGGUGGGUGGAUCACCUGAGGUCAGGAGUUCGAGACCAGCCAUGGCCAACCUGGCGAAACCCCAUGUCUACUAAAAAUACAAAAAUUAGCUGGGCAUGGUGACGGCUGCAUGUAAUCCCAACUACUUGGGAGUCUGAGGCAGGAGAAUCGCUUGAACCUGAGAGGCGGAGGUUGCAGUGAGCUGAGAUGCGCCAUUGCACUCCAGCCUGGGCAACGACAAGAGUGAAAUUCCAUCUCAAAAAAAAAAAAAAGUUCUUUCUAGAUUUUCUAUUUCAAAGCUUCAGCUGAGUGGCUGACAUUUUGUUUGUUUGUUUUGUUUGUUUGUUUUUACAACUGAACCCUGUCCUUUUUGUGACCCAGAGGGAAAUCACCAGCCUCAGAGAGAUUGAGGAGAAAUUAUUAUUUUUUUAAUAGAGAGAGAGCCUUGCUGUAUUGCCCAGGCUGGCCUCGAACUCCUGGUCUCAAGCAAUCCUCCUGCCUCAACCUCCCAAAGCACUGGGAUUACAGGCGUGAACACCGUGCGUGGCCUAGAAAUGAUUGUUAAAUAGUUGAAUAAUGUAGCUAGGUCUCUCCAUUUGGAUGAUGACUCCGUGGUGGAUAGUUUCCUCUCUCCACCUCUGGCUUUCCGGGGUGAGAAUGAGCAGUGGCAGAUUUCAAUUUCUAGGUUGGUCCCCUGCUGCCCCAAGCCAGGCGCCAACUCAGCCACAUCCAAGCAGCUGCCUCCCCUGUCAUUUGGUGUGUCCUCACGGGAGGCAAACUCAUUUCAGUGGAAGCUCAAGCAAAGUGUAAUUAGGACAGUAAAUCUGCUGCUUAACAGCAACAAAGAAAGUCCUAUGGCAGAUUUUACAGUCCUGGAGAAGUGAUUUGAGGCUGAAGGAAGGGUGGGAGAGACCUGGCCUUUGAUUUAAUUGCUUCCAGCCUGGGAACAAAGUCCAAGACAUGGUAACCUCAUUUACUCCAGAAAAUGCACCAUGACUCUUUAAAAGUUUAUGGUGUGAUAGUCUGAGGUUGGAGGAAUAGGGACAUGAUUUCAUGAAAGUCUUUUUUUUUUUUCCUUUCUAUGCCUUGCAGUGGAACUGUAACUCCUACUUUUCACCCUGCAUCACUAUCCUCACUUCCAUUUUUGGGAUAUUUACCAUUUAUCAAGCAACAUACCAUGGACUGCAGAUGCAUUUUCUUUUUCUUUUUUUUUUUUUUCUCUGAGACGGAGUCUCGCUCUGUCACCCAGGCUGGGGUGCAGGGGCGCAAUCUCCACUCACUGCAACCUCCGCCUCCUGGGUUCAAGCGAUUCUCCUGCCUCAGCCUCCCGAGUAGCUGGGACUGCAGGUGCCCGCCACCAGGCCUGGCUAAUUUUUUGUAUUUUUAGUAGAGACGAGGUUUUACCGUGUUAGCCAGGAUGGUCUCGAUCUCCUGACCUCAUGAUCUGCCUGCCUCGGCCUCCCAAAGUGCUGGGAUUACAAGCGUGAGCCACUACGCCCAGCCAAGGCAGUCCUAUGAUCCUAAACCUCAUUUUAUGGAUGAGAAAACUGAGGUUCAGGGAGGCAAGUGGCUUGCCCGGGGUUGCAGCACAUGUGAAUGGAGGAGCUGGGUGUGAAGAAGCCAUGCCCCAACCUUUGUGCCGUGCUGCCGCUGCUUGGUCUGAGGACGCCACAAACCAUGACGCCAGCUCAAAGUCACACCACCAGCAUCGCCCAGCCUCCUGGCCUUUCCCUCACAUUCCUUCGUGGCAAGAGUGGUACUUUUCUAAACCUCGGGCUUAGUGGCUGCCGAGCCACUGCUUGCGGCUCAGUUCCCCAUCUGGGCCAAGAGGAUUGCAGGUCCUUCUGGCACUCCUCUGGUGGACCGCCCCCAUCGGCCACACUUGCCCUGCUCUCCAGUGAUUCUGUGGCUCCUGGCUCCGUAGUCUCGCGGACAGCUCUCUUUCCUGGGAAGAUGUUUCUGGUGGGCCUGACAGGGGGCAUUGCCUCAGGCAAGAGCUCAGUGAUCCAGGUGUUCCAGCAGCUGGGCUGUGCGGUGAUUGACGUGGACGUGAUGGCCCGGCACGUCGUGCAGCCAGGAUACCCUGCCCACCGGCGCAUCGUAGAGGUCUUCGGCACUGAGGUCUUGCUGGAGAACGGCGACAUAAAUCGCAAGGUCCUGGGGGACCUGAUCUUUAACCAGCCUGACCGGCGGCAGCUGCUCAACGCCAUCACCCACCCCGAGAUCCGCAAGCAGAUGAUGAAGGAGACGUUCAAGUACUUCCUCCGGGUAUCAAAAGACCUGCCCCCCACUUUUCAAGGCCAGCACAAGUGCCAGCCCUUCUACAAGGUCUUCCCUGAUCAGCUAUCCAGAAAUGAUUUUCUGCAGCCUUCUGUUCUGCACAGCAUUGGAACCGGCCAGUGUGCAGGGAUACCGCUACGUGAUUCUGGAUAUCCCCCUGCUGUUUGAGACCAAGAAGUUGCUCAAGUACAUGAAGCACACCGUGGUAGUAUACUGAUAUGUGAUCUCCCUGAUGAAGGCUGGAUUUAGUCCUUGUUCUCAGCGAGUGACCGGGACACACAGCUGGCACGGCUGAUGCGGCGGAACAGCCUGAACCGCAAGGACGCAGAGGCCCGCAUCAAUGCCCAGCUGCCCCUGACAGACAAGGCCCGCAUGGCCCGCCAUGUCCUA
Gorilla gorilla gorilla (western lowland gorilla) is the source of this 5769-nucleotide RNA transcript. It is a transcript of the gene named dephospho-CoA kinase domain containing, with no coding region annotated. Lineage: Eukaryota; Metazoa; Chordata; Mammalia; Primates; Hominidae. The record is from RefSeq and is a predicted model, not a curated record. The transcript has 7 exons.